AUUGAACGCUGGCGGAAUGCUUUACACAUGCAAGUCGAACGGCAGCACGGGGCAACCUGGUGGCGAGUGGCGAACGGGUGAGUAAUACAUCGGAACGUGCCCAAUCGUGGGGGAUAACGUAGCGAAAGUUACGCUAAUACCGCAUACGAUCUACGGAUGAAAGCGGGGGAUCGCAAGACCUCGCGCGAAUGGAGCGGCCGAUGUCAGAUUAGGUAGUUGGUGGGGUAAAGGCUCACCAAGCCAACGAUCUGUAGCUGGUCUGAGAGGACGACCAGCCACACUGGAACUGAGACACGGUCCAGACUCCUACGGGAGGCAGCAGUGGGGAAUUUUGGACAAUGGGCGCAAGCCUGAUCCAGCCAUUCCGCGUGCAGGAUGAAGGCCUUCGGUUGUAACCUCUUUCAGUAGGGAAGAAGCGAAAGUGACGGUACCUACAGAAGAAGCACCGGCUAACUACGUGCCAGCAGCCGCGGUAAGCUCGUCUCUA
RNAcentral lists this ribosomal RNA (487 nucleotides) under uncultured bacterium. RNAcentral describes it as "bacterial SSU rRNA". It matches the Rfam family "Bacterial small subunit ribosomal RNA", at positions 30 to 537 of the family's 1533-position model. The record is from RNAcentral.